RNAcentral lists this long non-coding RNA (227 nucleotides) under Hordeum vulgare. RNAcentral describes it as "long non-coding RNA (HVUL_LNC017204)". Lineage: Eukaryota; Viridiplantae; Streptophyta; Magnoliopsida; Poales; Poaceae. The record is from RNAcentral.
AGUCUAGUUAUAUAUCGGAGAGUAGGAUUCUUUUUUCUCCUCUUCUAUGCUGUGUGAGGAAUCUUGACGUAAUAAUUUAUUCUACUUAUCUUCCCACUCAAAAAAAAAAUUAGGAUCACACGGAUAUUUUUGGAAUCUAUAUGAUGCCGAUGUGACGGAGUUCUGUCUUGGUGCCUCCUAUCUGCUUUGAGUUUCAGGGGAGUUGAGCUCCAGGGGAUUCUUGAGCA